This 130-nucleotide ribosomal RNA is filed under the name uncultured bacterium. Its description in RNAcentral is "partial 16S ribosomal RNA". It matches the Rfam family "Bacterial small subunit ribosomal RNA", at positions 338 to 466 of the family's 1533-position model. The record is from RNAcentral.
CCUACGGGAGGCAGCAGUGGGGAAUAUUGGACAAUGGGCGCAAGCCUGAUCCAGCCAUGCCGCGUGAGUGAUGAAGGCCCUAGGGUUGUAAAGCUCUUUCGCCAGGGACGAUAAUGACGGUACUGUAAGA